UACGGAGGGUGCAAACGUUGCUCGGAAUCAUUGGGCGUAAAGCGCACGUAGGCGGCCUGUUAAGUCAGAUGUGAAAGCCCCGGGCUCAACCUGGGAAUUGCAUUUGAGACUGCUCUGCUCGGGUGCGGAAGAGGGAAGCGGAAUUUCCGGUGUAGCGGUGAAAUGCGUAGAUAUCGGAAGGAACACCAGUGGCGAAAGCGGCUUCCUGGUCCGACACCGACGUUCAGGCACGAAAGCGUGGGGAGCAAACAGG
This 253-nucleotide ribosomal RNA is filed under the name uncultured bacterium. Its description in RNAcentral is "partial 16S ribosomal RNA". It matches the Rfam family "Bacterial small subunit ribosomal RNA", at positions 524 to 776 of the family's 1533-position model. The record is from RNAcentral.